RNAcentral lists this ribosomal RNA (468 nucleotides) under uncultured bacterium. RNAcentral describes it as "partial 16S ribosomal RNA". It matches the Rfam family "Bacterial small subunit ribosomal RNA", at positions 28 to 507 of the family's 1533-position model. The record is from RNAcentral.
GACGAACGCUGGCGGCGUGCUUAACACAUGCAAGUCGAACGGAAAGGCCCUGCUUUUGUGGGGUGCUCGAGUGGCGAACGGGUGAGUAACACGUGAGUAACCUGCCCUUGACUUUGGGAUAACUUCAGGAAACUGGGGCUAAUACCGGAUAGGAGCUCCUGCUGCAUGGUGGGGGUGGGAAAGUUUCGGCGGUUGGGGAUGGAUUCGCGGCUUAUCAGCUUGUUGGUGGGGUAGUGGCUUACCAAGGCUUUGACGGGUAGCCGGCCUGAGAGGGUGACCGGCCACAUUGGGACUGAGGUACGGCCCAGACUCCUACGGGAGGCAGCAGUGGGGAAUAUUGCACAAUGGGCGGAAGCCUGAUGCAGCAACGCCGCGUUCGGGAUGACGGCCUUCGGGUUGUAAACCGCUUUCGCCUGUGACGAAGCGUGAGUGACGGUAAUGGGUAAAGAAGCACCGGCUAACUACGUG